This 107-nucleotide ribosomal RNA is filed under the name uncultured bacterium. Its description in RNAcentral is "partial 16S ribosomal RNA". It matches the Rfam family "Bacterial small subunit ribosomal RNA", at positions 1377 to 1482 of the family's 1533-position model. The record is from RNAcentral.
AGCCUUGUACACACCGCCCGUCAAGUCAUGGGAGUUGGGAGUACCCGAAGUCCGCUUAGCCAACCGCAAGGGGGCGGCGGCCGACGGUAAGCCCGAUGACUGGGACU